Rattus rattus (black rat) is the source of this 405-nucleotide non-coding RNA. The record is from the annotation of a RefSeq genome assembly. Lineage: Eukaryota; Metazoa; Chordata; Mammalia; Rodentia; Muridae.
AUGAAGUUGUGGUUGAGCUGGAUAUUCCUUGUUGUUCUUUUCAAAGGUGUGAGGUGUGAGGUGCAAAUUUUGGAGACUGGAGUAGGCUUGGUGAAGCCUGGUGGUUCCCUGAGACUUUCUUGUGCAACGUCCGGAUUCAAUUUCAAUGACUACUACAUGCACUGGGUUCGUCAGGCUCCAGGGAAGGGGCUAGAAUGGGUGGCCGAAAUAAGAAACAAAAAUAAUAAUUAUGCAACAUAUUAUGCGGCAUCUGUGAAAGGGAGAUUCACAGUCUCACGAGACGAUUCCAAAAGCAGUGUCUACCUGCAAGUGAGCAGUUUAAGAGCUGAAGACACUGCCAUUUAUUACUGUACAAGACACAGUAAUGGACCUUCUCUGAGUAUCAAGACAAAAAUCUCCCUGUAG